Molecule: ribosomal RNA, 468 nt
Filed under: uncultured bacterium
Lineage: Bacteria
Description: partial 16S ribosomal RNA
Rfam family: Bacterial small subunit ribosomal RNA
Source: RNAcentral
GACGAACGCUGGCGGCGUGCUUAACACAUGCAAGUCGAACGGAAAGGCCCUGCUUUUGUGGGGUGCUCGAGUGGCGAACGGGUGAGUAACACAUGAGUAACCUGCCCUUGACUUUGGGAUAACUUCAGGAAACUGGGGCUAAUACCGGAUAGGAGCUCCUGCUGCAUGGUGGGGGUUGGAAAGUUUCGGCGGUUGGGGAUGGACUCGCGGCUUAUCAGCUUGUUGGUGGGGUAGUGGCUUACCAAGGCUUUGACGGGUAGCCGGCCUGAGAGGGUGACCGGCCACAUUGGGACUGAGAUACGGCCCAGACCCCUACGGGAGGCAGCAGUGGGGAAUAUUGCACAAUGGGCGGAAGCCUGAUGCAGCAACGCCGCGUGCGGGAUGACGGCCUUCGGGUUGUAAACCGCUUUCGCCUGUGACGAAGCGUGAGUGACGGUAAUGGGUAAAGAAGAACCGGCUAACUACGUG